This 504-nucleotide ribosomal RNA is filed under the name uncultured bacterium. RNAcentral describes it as "bacterial SSU rRNA". It matches the Rfam family "Bacterial small subunit ribosomal RNA", at positions 107 to 607 of the family's 1533-position model. The record is from RNAcentral.
AGAGUAAUGUCUGGGAAACUGCCUGAUGGAGGGGGAUAACUACUGGAAACGGUAGCUAAUACCGCAUAACGUCGCAAGACCAAAGAGGGGGACCUUCGGGCCUCUUGCCAUCAGAUGUGCCCAGAUGGGAUUAGCUAGUAGGUGGGGUAACGGCUCACCUAGGCGACGAUCCCUAGCUGGUCUGAGAGGAUGACCAGCCACACUGGAACUGAGACACGGUCCAGACUCCUACGGGAGGCAGCAGUGGGGAAUAUUGCACAAUGGGCGCAAGCCUGAUGCAGCCAUGCCGCGUGUAUGAAGAAGGCCUUCGGGUUGUAAAGUACUUUCAGCGGGGAGGAAGGUGUUGAGGUUAAUAACCUCAGCAAUUGACGUUACCCGCAGAAGAAGCACCGGCUAACUCCGUGCCAGCAGCCGCGGUAAUACGGAGGGUGCAAGCGUUAAUCGGAAUUACUGGGCGUAAAGCGCACGCAGGCGGUCUGUCAAGUCGGAUGUGAAAUCCCCGGG